Molecule: long non-coding RNA, 2476 nt
Organism: Macaca mulatta (Rhesus monkey)
Lineage: Eukaryota; Metazoa; Chordata; Mammalia; Primates; Cercopithecidae
Source: Ensembl
AGCAGCUGCUGCUGAUCCGGAUCAAAAGCGAGGCUGAAUACCUGUUUCUCCAUUCUACACUCCCUCCGGGAACCUGGAAGCUCAGCAGGAGAUGAAGUGGCUGGAGGCGUGUGAGUCCUGCACUUGAUAGAGGCGGAUUCUGUCAAGCCUUACCUGGAUGGUGUGUGUGACUAUCCCCAUAGAAACGAGCAGGCUGUCUCAUGAAGCCUCCAUUCUAGCCUUUUGUGAUCACCUGUGAUCUUAGAGGGCUCCUCUACAACCCCGAGUCCCAAAUAGGUGACUACAAAGUGGGCUCACACUUAUUUCUCCACUAUUCCUGUGUUCUUUCAGGGGGCUGACCAUCAAACCUACUUAGAAAUCAGACCUUGAAUAAGAGUUCUGCUACAAAUGGAAGACUGAAAACUACCUGGGAGAAAUUAAAAAACAAGCAAACACAUGAACAAAAGUCCAUGCAUCAGGGGAAACAUGCCACCAUCACCUCUCGGGCGUGAACUCCUCUGCUUCACUCCGUCAGUUCCAACCCGGCUCACUCUUUGGAUUCUUAGAGCAUCAAACAGCCAGGAGCAACCCCGCCUGUGCCUGCAGACUUUGGGGCUUGUUGGUUCCUGUAUCGGGAGCGUGCUCUCCCUUCUUUCAAGUUUUUUCUCAUCACCUUCUUGGUAAGUUCCCUUCUGAUUAUGUCAUUAAGAUUACAACCCACCCUCCGCACUCCGUGGCCUGCCUUUGCUUUAUCUUUCUACUUAGUGUGAAUUGCCGCCUGAAACAUGAGGUGUUUUUUCGACUCAGUACUUACAUCCUUCUCCUCCCAAAGCUGGAAUUAAGAUCCAUGAAGGCGGGGGCUCUGUCUGUUUUGUUCAUGUUGCCCUCCCUGCACUGAGAACAGUACAGGCACAGGAAGGACUGCCAAUCAUUGUGUGUUGGGUUAAUGAAUGAAACAAUAAAUAAAUGAAUACCAAGCCAAAAUAGAAAAAUUCUUAAAAUGGUCAGUUUAAUUUUCGUUGCUUCUGCCUCACAAAUUAAGUCAGGAAAACAUGGCUACGUGUUGUCGUGGUUUUCAUAUUGCUCCCUAGAACUUUUGAAAAUGUCAAAGCUAUGAAGAUAGCAGUGGUGCUUGGGCAGUAACGGACCCUACGUGAAUUUGACAGGUUUAAUAUUUUAAAUGUUAACAGGCAAAGAUACCACCUGGAGGGUGAAAUAAUAAUUGCUAUGAUUCUCAUAUUUCAAGUUGUUUUAUUUUAUUUAUAAAAUGAAACAGUAACUUCAGUUCAGAAGACCCAUGUUUUUCUAUUUCACCAAGAUCCUUCAAAGUUCUGUUGAAAAACAACCAAUCAAAUAAAGUAUGAAUUUUUAGCAAAAGCACCCAUGUCAUUUUACAAAAUUUAUUUUAUUAGUUCAUCAGCGCAUGAGAGGUGACUGUCAUUUUGCAUAAGCUCGUUAUUACGAGUAGAAACUACUCAGCUUCAGCAUCAGAAUGGCUCUCUCAGGGACACUUAGAGCUGCGAUAUCUCAUCCUGAUGGAUUUCCAAGCACGAGCCUUGAAACAAUCAUGCAUUUCCCAGUUGCAAUUAAACUGGGUUCUCUACAGAAACUAAGGAAGAAACAGCAUUGAGGAUGUUACCUACAUGUAGGGACAUACAUUGUUCUGUACCGAAAUGAACACUAAGAGACUGGAGACCAAUUUUAGUGGCCUUAUUGCACCACUUCUUAGUUUCUUAUUUUUCGAUAUGUUAAUUAAUGGUUUUGAACUCAGUUUCCAAAACAGGGAUAUUAAGAAUUAGCCCAUGUGAAGCUCAGGGGAUGGGCUCAAAGAUUCCUUAAGGUACAGUUUACCUCUAAGUUCCCCUCAGCUUUUCAUUCUCCAGGAAGCCCUUCUUUCUCUCCUGUUGUCUGCACAUGUGUGUCAGGAUCCAUGGAGAAGACACAUGGCAGUAGGGGACCUUGUCCACCUCACAGGUUGUCCCCUGAGUCACUGGCGUUGGAGUUAUUGAGGGUCAAACAUCUGGUUCUAUUUUCUUACAAGACUUGACUAAGGGAACUGUCUUUUAGAAGGCCCAAGCUCAUUGCUUGAAACCAAAACAGUUAAAUAAGCUGAUUUAUAUGAUGUAAAUUAUUUUAUCCUCUGUAUCUUAAAGUAUAAUGUUAGAAUUGAUUUGUUGGCUGGGUGGGGUGGCAUGCCUCUGUAAUUGCAACACUUCAGGAGGUUGAGGCAGGAGGAUCAUGGGAGCCCAGGAAGUCGAGGUUGCAGGGAGCUGUGUUCAUGUCACUGCACUCCAGCCUGGGCCACAGAGUGAGACCCUGUCUCUCUCUCUCUCUCCCUCUUUCUACAUACAUAUAUGAAUUAUGUAUAUGUAAAUUAUAUAUUUGUUGAGGAAAUAAAUAAAUUCCAGUUCUCAGAAGACAGCAUUCUUUCUAAAGCAGUUUUUCUGAGGAAAUCACUUUUUCACGCAGUUGAAAUAUAGUGUUUAAUUCCUGUGCU